AGGCGGUCAUGUUAGUCGUUCGUAAAAUCCGUGGGCUCAACCUACGGCCGGCGAGCGAAACGGCAUGACUAGAGGUAGGGAGAGGUGCGUGGAACUCACGGUGUAGGGGUGAAAUCCGUUGAUAUCGUGGGGAACACCAAAGGCGAAGGCAGCGCACUGGCCCUAAUCUGACGCUCACACACGAAAGCCAGGGUAGCGAAUGGGAUUUGAUACCCCAGUAGUCCUGGCCCUAAACGCUGCUCGCUCGUUCUGCGGAGUAUCGACCCUCUGCGGGACUAAGCUAACGCGGUAAGCGAGCCGCCUGGGUAGUACGAGCGCAAGCUUAAAACUCAAAGGAAUAGACGGGGACUCGCACAAGCGGUGGAUCAUGUGGCUUAAUUCGUCGAUAAGCGAAGAACCUUACCCAGGCUAGAAACCAAGCUGCAUCUCUUUCGAAAGAUUGAGAGCCUUCGAGGGUGCUUGGCAGGUGAUGCAUGGUUGUCGUCAGUUCGUGGCUUGAGCUGUUCCCUUCAGUGGGGUAACGAACGCAACCCUCGUUGUCUGUUAUAUAUGUCAGGCGAGACUGCCCCCUCACGGGGGAGGAAGGUGAGGAUGACGCCAAAUCAGCAUG
This 610-nucleotide ribosomal RNA is filed under the name uncultured bacterium. RNAcentral describes it as "bacterial SSU rRNA". It matches the Rfam family "Bacterial small subunit ribosomal RNA", at positions 573 to 1197 of the family's 1533-position model. The record is from RNAcentral.